This 118-nucleotide ribosomal RNA is filed under the name Chelydra serpentina (North American snapping turtle). The record is from RNAcentral. Lineage: Eukaryota; Metazoa; Chordata; Testudines; Chelydridae.
GUGUACGGCCAUACCACCCUGAACACGCCCGAUCUCGUCUGAUCUCGGAAGUUAAGCAGGGUUGGGCCUUGUUAGUACUUGGAUGGGAGACCUGCUUAAGGAAGGGGGGUCCCCCCCC